CUUGGUCAUUUAGAGGAAGUAAAAGUCGUAACAAGGUUUCCGUAGGUGAACCUGCGGAAGGAUCAUUCACAAUAAGUGUUUAUGGCACUUUUAAAAAUUCCAUACCCACCUUGUGUGCAACGUUUGAAUCUGCUCCGUGCGUCUCCCUCUUUCGAGUGGGCCGCGGGGAGUAAGAUAUCUUUAAUCAUUAAUCUGUUUUAAACCAGUUUUGUCUGAAGCAAUGUAUCAUUGAAUUGACCUAAUUCGAAAAUACAACUUUCAACAACGGAUCUCUUGGCUCUCGCAUCGAUGAAGAACGCAGCGAAAUGCGAUACGUAAUGUGAAUUGCAGAAUUCAGUGAAUCAUCGAAUCUUUGAACGCAUAUUGCGCUCUUUGGUAUUCCGAAGAGCAUGCUUGUUUGAGUAUCAGUAAACACCUCAAAGCCUUUUUUUGUUAAGAGGCCUUGGACUUGAGCAAUCCCAACACUUUUCCUCCAAGAAAAGUGGCGGGUUGCUUGAAAUGCAGGUGCAGCUGGACAUUCUCCUGAGCUAAAAGCAUAUUCAUUUAGUCCCGUCAAACGGAUUAUUACUUUUGCUGCAGCUAACAUAAAGGGAGUUUGACCAUUUUGGCUGACUGAUGCAGGAUUUUCACAAGAGUCUUCAAAAGCUUUUGUUAAACUCGAUCUCAAAUCAAGUAAGACUACCCGCUGAACUUAAGCAUAUCAAUAAGCGGAGGA
RNAcentral lists this ribosomal RNA (715 nucleotides) under uncultured Mortierella. RNAcentral's name for it is "eukaryotic LSU rRNA". The stretch from base 254 to 407 matches the Rfam family "5.8S ribosomal RNA". Lineage: Eukaryota; Fungi; Mortierellomycota; Mortierellomycetes; Mortierellales; Mortierellaceae. The record is from RNAcentral.